UAUUCGUACCCUACUCGGAUC
This 21-nucleotide non-coding RNA is filed under the name Caenorhabditis elegans. The record is from RNAcentral. Lineage: Eukaryota; Metazoa; Nematoda; Chromadorea; Rhabditida; Rhabditidae.